Non-coding RNA from Pelobates cultripes (western spadefoot toad), 324 nucleotides. The record is from the annotation of a GenBank genome assembly. NCBI's taxonomy places the organism in Eukaryota, Metazoa, Chordata, Amphibia, Anura, Pelobatidae.
UGAUCAAACUUUAUCAUAUGGUAAGUUAAUACAUUCAAAGAUUGUUUUAAUUAUUAAGUAUAAGUAUAUGCUGCCUGUCAAAUGCGUUGGUUCAAGGCACCUUUUUAGAUGCACUUGUUAUGAUUAUAUUUUUGUUCCUUAAAACGUUGUUAUUCUAUUAAGGAACUAUUUGCUGUCAUUCCCAGACUAUGUAAAUCAAUACAGAAUGCAGUGGAACUUUGUCAAUAUUUUCAGAUUUUCUGGCUUUGAAUUAACUUAUUUUAUUCUUUAUUAUCACAGCUCUAGAUAUGACAGCCAUUUCCUCAUAUAGAAACAUGAUUAAAU